Molecule: long non-coding RNA, 1876 nt
Organism: Poecile atricapillus (Black-capped chickadee)
Lineage: Eukaryota; Metazoa; Chordata; Aves; Passeriformes; Paridae
Exons: 3
Source: RefSeq, a predicted model, not a curated record
CCCAUCAGCCUGGCUGUACCACCUUCCCCAAACCACAGCCCGUACUUGCUGGGUUGUUUUUCACUAAGAGUUUCCUUUUCUCCUUCUCCCAGGCUCCCUCUGCCUUGGGAAGCUGUGGAUCUCUGUGACGAGAGUUUGUUUUUUUCCAACUACACCAGGACUCAUCUGAACGGCUGCGAAACCGGAGGUCACUGCCAAAUCUAAACCACGGCAGUGUGCGAUAGGCUCAAAAUGAGCUGCUCCAGUACUUUAAUACGUACCAACAAUUGGCUAUGUUAUGGAAUCCACGAUGUGGCCUUCACUGUUGACCUCUGCAACACAAUUCCCAGUCUGACUACGGAAACUGUUUGGUUUGAUCCUUUCAACUUAUUUGAAUCCUGACAAAUAAGCUCACAGCUGAAAGGUCAACACAGUCAUAUUUCAUCCUCUGGAGCUAUUCUUAAGACAUCUGCACAACAAAGCACUUCUUUUAGUACCUGACACUGGACCUAGCCAGCACAAUCUCUCAUUAAAAAUGUCCCCAGUGGAAGAGUCUAUUAAAAGGCAUAUGGAUCAGCUAUGGAUUUACCAAAUAAAAUAUUUUUGAAAGCAUUAAUGUAACGCUUUGGAUUAUGGCUCUCGACGCUGCCAAUAAAAUGUAUAUUUGCCCAAUGACAAAAUGCUUCAUACUUUCCAAAAGAAUAAUAGCCCGGCUGUAAAGCACGAGGUGUUGUCCAGCAGCCGGAGCACAGGGGUGGGAGCCAGGAACUCAUGAAUCUUAAUCCUACCUCUAAACCCAAUUCCCUCUGUGAUCCUAAGUGAGUUGCUUAACCCGCUUCCCUCAGUUUCCCAGUCCAGAACCGGGAUAAUGCUACUUACUUAUCAGACUUUCCUUCUGGGGAUGUUUUGGAGAUUAGUAUUUGCAAAAUGCUUUGAAGAUGAAAUCACUACACCAAAGCUCGACGUUGUCCACACUGGGCCAAGGGCUGCAGCUAACAGCUAUUCCUCACUCAAGCAAAACUCCCCUUGAAGUCCCCAUCAGCUUUAUUUGGGUAAGAAGCAGAGAUUCGGGCCCUCUCACUUUACUGUCAAGGCCUCUAGCGAUGCUGGCUUUACCUUCCAUAUUCUACUACAUAUUUAAAGAGCCUAGCAUCCGCAUUUUUGUUGGAAAAUAAUCUGAAGCACAUAUAAAAGGCAAGAGAAGCAGCAAUGCUGUCAGGGAGCUCAUGGUGAUAGUAUAUCAAACUAAAAAAAAAAAAAAAAAAAAAAAAAAAAGAAGUAGAAAGAGCAAAACAGACAUGAGUUUGACAACGUGCUAUGACAACAAGAGGAAAAAAAAAUCCGGAAAGAAUUUGGGGCUACAGAGGCUGAAGCAUCAGAUAUAGAAGAGCGAGAUAAGAUAAAUGUCCCAGCUAAAGGGCUUUGUGCAACUGCAGCUGAACUGCUGCAUUCAGGACCUUAUUAUCAAAAAUCCACUGACAUGCUGCAAUUGCAGAGAGCAGUAAUAAAAGCAACAACCAGCUGCAAACCAGCAAAGUGGUCAAGGGUCUGGAAGUGCCAGUUUAUGAAAUACAUAAAGAACUAGAUACAUAUAAUUUGCCAAAACUGGCAAGUAUAUGUUAGUAUCUCAGAUGUUUGAGGAGUGUGAACACGAGGCAAGGCAAGGGACUGACUCAGUAUUUAUACAAGCAGUAUUACUUGGAGCAAGAGGAUGGAAUUAAAGUGGAAAGUUCCUGAGCAUGUGCUUUGUUAUGGAAAACUAUCCAAAGGAAAAUAAUAGCAGUCCCACCAUCACUUGGGAUUUCUAACACUAGAAUAGCAAAAAAAAAACAAACCAACAAAACCAACCAAAACCAAAAAACUGUGAUACAUGACCUAAUAGGUCUUUCUUGUCUUU